CCAGCACCCCGAGUGGUCGGGACGAUUAUUGGGCCUAAAGCAUCCGUAGCCGGUUUUACAAGUCCUCCGUUAAAUCCAACUGCUUAACAGAUGGGCCGCGGAGGAUACUAUAAGACUAGGAGGCAGGAGAGGCAAGCGGUACUCGGUGGGUAGGGGUAAAAUCCGUUGAUCCAUUGAAGACCACCAGUGGCGAAGGCGGCUUGCCAGAAUGCGCUCGACGGUGAGGGAUGAAAGCUGGGGGAGCAAACCGGAUUAGAUACCCGGGUAGUCCCAGCUGUAAACGAUGCAGACUCGGUGAUGGACUAGCUUUAUGCUAGUCCAGUGCCGCAGGGAAGCCGUUAAGUCUGCCGCCUGGGUAGUACGGUCGCAAGACUG
Molecule: ribosomal RNA, 375 nt
Filed under: uncultured organism
Description: bacterial SSU rRNA
Rfam family: Archaeal small subunit ribosomal RNA
Source: RNAcentral